This 498-nucleotide ribosomal RNA is filed under the name uncultured bacterium. Its description in RNAcentral is "partial 16S ribosomal RNA". It matches the Rfam family "Bacterial small subunit ribosomal RNA", at positions 30 to 523 of the family's 1533-position model. The record is from RNAcentral.
AUUGAACGCUGGCGGCAUGCCUUACACAUGCAAGUCGAACGGUAACAGGUCUUCGGAUGCUGACGAGUGGCGAACGGGUGAGUAAUACAUCGGAACGUGCCUAGUAGUGGGGGAUAACUACUCGAAAGAGUGGCUAAUACCGCAUGAGAUCUACGGAUGAAAGCAGGGGAUCGCAAGACCUUGUGCUACUAGAGCGGCCGAUGGCAGAUUAGGUAGUUGGUGGGAUAAAAGCUUACCAAGCCGACGAUCUGUAGCUGGUCUGAGAGGACGAUCAGCCACACUGGGACUGAGACACGGCCCAGACUCCUACGUGAGGCAGCAGUGGGGAAUUUUGGACAAUGGGCGCAAGCCUGAUCCAGCAAUGCCGCGUGCAGGAUGAAGGCGUUCGGGUUGUAAACUGCUGUUGUACGGAACGAAAAGCACUGGGUUAAUACCCUGGGGUCAUGACGGUACCGUAAGAAUAAGCACCGGCUAACUACGUGCCAGCAGCCGCCGCAG